This 426-nucleotide long non-coding RNA is filed under the name Manihot esculenta (cassava). Its description in RNAcentral is "long non-coding RNA (MESC_LNC004850)". Lineage: Eukaryota; Viridiplantae; Streptophyta; Magnoliopsida; Malpighiales; Euphorbiaceae. The record is from RNAcentral.
UUUCUUCCCAAAACGCGUCUACUGUGGUCUCUUGGGGCUUGCCCUUAUAAGGCGUCCCCCCUCCUUACCUCUUUCCGAUGUGGGAUACUUUCAAUCCACCUCAUAGGGCUUCUACCCCCCAUAAGGCCUGAGCGUCCUCGCUCAGCACACCGUACUCAUGAGGCCCAGGCUCUGAUACCAAUUGUAACAUCCUCUGGGCCCACAAUAGUAGAUAUUGUCCGCUUUGGGUUCGAGGGCCUUGGCCCUUAUAAGGCGUCCCCCCUCCUUCCCUCUUUCCGAUGUGGGAUACUUUCAAUCCACCUCAUAGGGCUUCUACCCCCCAUAAGGCCUGAGCGUCCUCGCUCAGCACACCGUACUCAUGAGGCCCAGGCUCUGAUACCAAUUGUAACAUCCUCUGGGCCCACAACAGUAGAUAUUGUCCGCUUU